This 484-nucleotide ribosomal RNA is filed under the name uncultured bacterium. RNAcentral's name for it is "partial 16S ribosomal RNA". It matches the Rfam family "Bacterial small subunit ribosomal RNA", at positions 30 to 507 of the family's 1533-position model. The record is from RNAcentral.
AUUGAACGCUGGCGGCAGGCCUAACACAUGCAAGUCGAGCGGAUGAAGGGAGCUUGCUCCUGGAUUCAGCGGCGGACGGGUGAGUAAUGCCUAGGAAUCUGCCUGGUAGUGGGGGAUAACGUCCGGAAACGGGCGCUAAUACCGCAUACGUCCUGAGGUAGAAAGUGGGGGAUCUUCGGACCUCACGCUAUCAGAUGAGCCUAGGUCGGAUUAGCUAGUUGGUGGGGUAAAGUCCCACCAAGGCGACGAUCCGUAACUGGUAUGAGAGGAUGAUCAGUCACACUGGAACUGAGACACGGUCCAGACUCCUAAGGGAGGCAGCAGUGGGGAAUAUUGGACAAUGGGCGAAAGCCUGAUCCAGCAAUGCCGCGUGUGUGAAGAAGGUCUUCGGAUUGUAAAGCACUUUAAGUUGGGAGGAAGGGCAGUAAGUUAAUACCUUGCUGUUUUGACGUUACCAAAAGAAUAAGCACCGGCUAACUUCGUG